CCCCCGGGCGACGGGGGGGGGCAUGGUGGUUUUUAUUCAAAGCAACGCGAAGAACCUUACCAGGUCUUGACAUCCUCUGACAACUCUAGAGAUAGAGCGUUCCCCUUCGGGGGACAGAGUGACAGGUGGUGCAUGGUUGUCGUCAGCUCGUGUCGUGAGAUGUUGGGUUAAGUCCCGCAACGAGCGCAACCCUUGAUCUUAGUUGCCAGCAUUUAGUUGGGCACUCUAAGGUGACUGCCGGUGACAAACCGGAGGAAGGUGGGGAUGACGUCAAAUCAUCAUGCCCCUUAUGACCUGGGCUACACACGUGCUACAAUGGAUGGUACAAAGGGCUGCAAGACCGCGAGGUCAAGCCAAUCCCAUAAAACCAUUCUCAGUUCGGAUUGUAGGCUGCAACUCGCCUACAUGAAGCUGGAAUCGCUAGUAAUCGCGGAUCAGCAUGCCGCGGUGAAUACGUUCCCGGGCCUUGUACACACCGCCCGUCACACCACGAGAGUUUGUAACACCCGAAGUCGGUGGAGUAACCGUAAGGAGCUAGCCGCCUAAGGUGGGACAGAUGAUUGGGGUGAAGUCGUAACAAGGUAGCCGUA
Molecule: ribosomal RNA, 590 nt
Filed under: Priestia megaterium
Lineage: Bacteria; Bacillati; Bacillota; Bacilli; Caryophanales; Bacillaceae
Description: bacterial SSU rRNA
Rfam family: Bacterial small subunit ribosomal RNA
Source: RNAcentral